AUGUCUGGCGGAGGCCGCAAGGUCCUGAUAUUCCCCAACCGAGCGGAGCUGGGUCGACCGCGAGCAGCGUCGACAAAGUCGAUGGCGAUAGGCGAAAUGUUUAUGCAUGUCACAAAAAAUUAUGUCAUUGAACACUAUUGGUCAUCGGAGUCGUCGCCGGGGUCAUCACCAGAGUCGGUGUGGAACUCCGCCUCCGGCUCGGCGUCGAGGAUGCAAGCGGAGAGAGAGGAUUCGAGCACGCCUCCGUCAAUUCACACACCUGCACGCACGCCUCCCAGUCUGCCUACGCAGCGGAUUGCUCGCAUGCGUCCCGUCAACUCACGCCUGCUCGCACGGCACACGGAAGUUUUGAUUUUACCGAAAUGCAGACACUGUUUUUUGCGACGCCAAAAUCGACGAGGGAACUGCAUCAGACAGAAAAACACACUGCACCAGAUGACCGCAGAGACAAGGGCAAGUGAACCCCAACAUGAUCAAAAAGAGCUAAGGAACUGCACGACAUCAUCCGGUUGUUGUCCCGUUGAGGACACUGAAGUAAAGAGGGCUUUUCAUACACUCCUCACCUACAUCGGAAACGUGGUAAAGAAUCCUGAAGAGGAGAAAUUCAGAAAGAUCAGACUUACGAAUACUACAUUUCAGGCAGUUGGGAGCCUCGGGGGCAUAUAUUUUCUCGAGCUGUGCGGGUUUGAGAAACCGGAAGGCGACGAAAUCUUGUUUCUGGCAAGGGACAAGGUUGACAAGGCCGUCCUGAAUGUCGCUGGAGCCGAGCGCAACUCUGCAAUCACCAAUCCUUUCUUUGGAGUUAUAUGA
RNAcentral lists this ribosomal RNA (810 nucleotides) under Triticum aestivum (bread wheat). RNAcentral describes it as "partial small subunit ribosomal RNA". The record is from RNAcentral. Lineage: Eukaryota; Viridiplantae; Streptophyta; Magnoliopsida; Poales; Poaceae.